GAUUGCAGGCUGACCAACCCCGCCUGCAUGAAGUCGGAAUUGCUAGUAAUCGCGGAUCAGCAUGCCGCGGUGAAUACGUUCCCGGGCCUUGUACACACCGCCCGUCACACCAUGGGAGCCGGUAAUACCCGAAGUCAGUAGUCCAACCUCGUGAGGACGCUGCCGAAGGUAGGAUUGGCGACUGGGGUGAAGUCGUAACAAGGUAAC
RNAcentral lists this ribosomal RNA (207 nucleotides) under uncultured bacterium. Its description in RNAcentral is "partial 16S ribosomal RNA". It matches the Rfam family "Bacterial small subunit ribosomal RNA", at positions 1296 to 1500 of the family's 1533-position model. The record is from RNAcentral.